CUGUGAGCUUCUCGAGGAAAACACCUGCCAUUUGGGGCAAUCCUGUGUUCAAAGAGAAAAGCACCGCUAGUUGCUUCUGUGUGAGAACAACAUGCCUGAGGGCAGGGAAGCCAGAAAUACUUUUGUCUCCAUCUAUCGCUCCACAGUGCGGGCAGAGCAUGAGGCUCUUGGGCUGCCAUCGACUGAGAGCUCUUCAUCCUUCUUCAGAGGGACGCUCAUGGGCCAGUGACUUCAGGAGAGCGUGAUGUUUUCAGUGGUGCAACUGAAACUGUGUUCUGGGGAAGUUAUUCCUGAAUAAUGAUCAUCCUCAUCUCUGCUGUUCUGUCAAGAAGAUUGAAACAGUAAAUUACACAUUAUGGUAAGUUGCCCAACAAAUUCAUAUUUGCACCUUUUUGAUCUUUUGGAAAAAAU
This 411-nucleotide long non-coding RNA is filed under the name Struthio camelus australis. RNAcentral's name for it is "lncRNA (ENSSCUG00000014365.1)". The record is from RNAcentral. Lineage: Eukaryota; Metazoa; Chordata; Aves; Struthioniformes; Struthionidae.